Molecule: ribosomal RNA, 785 nt
Filed under: uncultured Glomus
Lineage: Eukaryota; Fungi; Glomeromycota; Glomeromycetes; Glomerales; Glomeraceae
Description: SSU rRNA
Rfam family: Eukaryotic small subunit ribosomal RNA
Source: RNAcentral
AUGGUAGGAUAGAGGCCUACCAUGGUGGUAACGGGUAACGGGGUGUUAGGGCACGACACCGGAGAGGGAGCCUGAGAAACGGCUACCACAUCCAAGGAAGGCAGCAGGCGCGCAAAUUACCCAAUCCCGACACGGGGAGGUAGUGACAAUAAAUAACAAUACAGGGUUCUUUGAAUCUUGUAAUUGGAAUGAGUACAAUUUAAAUCUCUUAACGAGGAACAAUUGGAGGGCAAGUCUGGUGCCAGCAGCCGCGGUAAUUCCAGCUCCAAUAGCGUAUAUUAAAGUUGUUGCAGUUAAAAAGCUCGUAGUUGAAUUUCGGGAUCAAUACGUCGGUCGUGCUUUCGGGUACGUACUGGCGUCAUUGGUUUCUCCUUUCUGACGAACCAUGAUGUCAUUAAUUUGGUGUUAUGGGGAGUUAGGACUGUUACUUUGAAAAAAUUAGAGUGUUUAAAGCAGGCAUUAGCUUGAAUACAUUAGCAUGGAAUAAUGAAAUAGGACGUUCGAUCCUAUUUUGUUGGUUUCUAGGAUCAACGUAAUGAUUAAUAGGGAUAGUUGGGGGCAUUAGUAUUCAAUUGUCAGAGGUGAAAUUCUUGGAUUUAUUGAAGACUAACUACUGCGAAAGCAUUUGCCAAGGAUGUUUUCAUUAAUCAAGAACGAAAGUUAGGGGAUCGAAGACGAUCAGAUACCGUCGUAGUCUUAACCAUAAACUAUGCCGACUAGGGAUCGGAUGAUGUUAAUUUUUUAAUGACUCAUUCGGCGCCUUACGGGAAACCAAAGUGUUUGGG